AAGGUCGUAACAAGGUUUCCGUAGGUGAACCUGCGGAAGGAUCAUUA
RNAcentral lists this ribosomal RNA (47 nucleotides) under Resinicium tenue. RNAcentral's name for it is "partial small subunit ribosomal RNA". It matches the Rfam family "Eukaryotic small subunit ribosomal RNA", at positions 1785 to 1831 of the family's 1831-position model. The record is from RNAcentral. Lineage: Eukaryota; Fungi; Basidiomycota; Agaricomycetes; Hymenochaetales.